Long non-coding RNA from Athene cunicularia (burrowing owl), 622 nucleotides. RefSeq lists it as uncharacterized. Lineage: Eukaryota; Metazoa; Chordata; Aves; Strigiformes; Strigidae. The transcript has 4 exons. The record is from RefSeq and is a predicted model, not a curated record.
GGCGUCGCUAUGGAGACCGCGCACCCCCGCGGCCGGGCGGCGAGGUACCCGGAAAGGCCGACAACAUAAACUGCAUCUGGAUGCGGCUGUUCUGGGAGGAAAAUCCCCCCUGUAGAUCCCCAUCACCCAGCGUGAUGGCCAGAAUUGCAGAGGCGUGUGCUGGGAAGACAUCUGAAAGCAGAAAAUGGUGUUCUCUAGUGUGUAAUAUCAGAAAAAAACACAGCGUUCUGGAUGCCGGCGGUGUCAGACGCAUCUUUGAAUUUCUCUAAGCUAAGUAUGAGCAUAUGCACGGAGCAGCCAUGCCAGAGCCCUGCUCUGAAUGCAGAACAUCCUGACGGCAGCAGAACAGGGCUGAAUUAAUUAAAUGACCCUCGCUGACAGACAGCUAAGGCCCUAAGCAUCAGAUCCCAUGGGGAAACGUCCACUUCUAUCACUUCUACUGUUCACCAACCUCAAAACACUUUAAGGAUCUGUCCACUCAGUAGGAGGGAUCACCAGAAAACAUGGUCAAGUCUUUUCCCCCAAGAUGUCCUCAUUAUAUUUAUAUAUUUGAUCCUCUGCCUGGAUAGGAUCAAUUUACACUACCUGUGUGCAUUGAUUGACAUGCAGAGACCCAAGAACA